This is a non-coding RNA of Acanthosepion pharaonis, 93 nucleotides long. NCBI's taxonomy places the organism in Eukaryota, Metazoa, Mollusca, Cephalopoda, Sepiida, Sepiidae. The record is from the annotation of a GenBank genome assembly.
GUUGAAACAUCGCUUCUCGUACGAUCAUCGAAGUUAAACAACAUUGAGCUUGGUCAGUACCUAGAUGGGGGAUCACUUGGGAAUACCAGCUGC